UACGUAGGGGGCAAGCGUUGUCCGGAUUUAUUGGGCGUAAAGAGCGUGUAGGCGGCCAAGUAGGUCAGCUGUGAAAACUCGAGGCUCAACCUCGAGACGCCGGUUGAAACCAUCUGGCUAGAGUCCGGAAGAGGAGAGUGGAAUUCCUGGUGUAGCGGUGAAAUGCGCAGAUAUCAGGAAGAACACCCGUGGCUAAGGCGGCUCUCUAGUACGGUACUGACGCUGAGACGCGAAAGCGUGGGGAGCGAACAGG
RNAcentral lists this ribosomal RNA (253 nucleotides) under uncultured bacterium. RNAcentral describes it as "partial 16S ribosomal RNA". It matches the Rfam family "Bacterial small subunit ribosomal RNA", at positions 524 to 776 of the family's 1533-position model. The record is from RNAcentral.